UUUUUAGUAUAAUUAUGUCCCAUGCAAUAUCUAGGAUAUAUUUAUACUCAAA
Molecule: microRNA precursor, 52 nt
Filed under: Loxodonta africana (African savanna elephant)
Lineage: Eukaryota; Metazoa; Chordata; Mammalia; Proboscidea; Elephantidae
Description: mir-1302 microRNA precursor family
Rfam family: mir-1302 microRNA precursor family
Source: Rfam by way of RNAcentral